RNAcentral lists this ribosomal RNA (539 nucleotides) under Pseudoblennius sp. Kirin-anahaze. RNAcentral describes it as "partial 16S ribosomal RNA". It matches the Rfam family "Bacterial large subunit ribosomal RNA", at positions 157 to 1040 of the family's 2925-position model. Lineage: Eukaryota; Metazoa; Chordata; Actinopteri; Perciformes; Cottidae. The record is from RNAcentral.
GCCCAAUAACUAGCCCCUUCAAACAACUUCAACCCCAACCCCCUAUAAUAACCCCUAAAUACCCCCGUAUUUAAAUUAAACAAACCAUUUUUCCCCCUUAGUAUAGGCGAUAGAAAAGGAACUAAGGCGCAAUAGAGAAAGUACCGCAAGGGACUGCUGAAAGAGAAGUGAAACAACCCAGUAUAAGCCUGAAAAAGCAGAGAUUAAGCCUCGUACCUUUUGCAUCAUGAUUUAGCAAGUGUCCCCCAAGCAAAGAGUACUUUAGUUUGGCACCCCGAAACUACGUGAGCUACUCCAAGACAGCCUAGCAAUAGGGCCUACCCGUCUCUGUGGCAAAAGAGUGGGGAGAGCUUUGAGUAGAGGUGACAAGCCUACCGAACCUAGUUAUAGCUGGUUGUCCAAGAAAUGAAUAGAAGUUCAGCCUCUUGGCUUCUCUUUUCACCCUAGACUUACCCCUAUUGAUGCAAUAAAGAACCCAAGAGAGUUAGUCAAAGGGGGUACAGCCCCUUUGAAUCAAGACACAACUUUUACAGGAGGGU